AUUGAACGCUGGCGGCAUGCUUUACACAUGCAAGUCGAACGGUAACAGGCCUUCGGGUGCUGACGAGUGGCGAACGGGUGAGUAAUGCAUCGGAACGUACCCAGAGGUGGGGGAUAACGCAGCGAAAGCUGUGCUAAUACCGCAUGUGAUCUGAGGAUGAAAGCGGGGGACCGAGCAGCAAUGUUUGGCCUCGCGCCUUUGGAGCGGCCGAUGUCGGAGUAGCUAGUUGGUGGGGUAAAGGCCUACCAAGGCGACGAUCCGUAGCUGGUCUGAGAGGACGACCAGCCACACUGGGACUGAGACACGGCCCAGACUCCUGCGGGAGGCAGCAGUGGGGAAUGUUGGACAAUGGGCGCAAGCCUGAUCCAGCAAUGCCGCGUGCGGGAAGAAGGCCUUCGGGUUGUAAACCGCUUUUGGCAGGAACGAAACGGUGUCCGCUAAUACCGGGCGCUAAUGACGGUACCUGCAGAAUAAGCACCGGCUAACUACGUG
This 492-nucleotide ribosomal RNA is filed under the name uncultured bacterium. RNAcentral describes it as "partial 16S ribosomal RNA". It matches the Rfam family "Bacterial small subunit ribosomal RNA", at positions 29 to 507 of the family's 1533-position model. The record is from RNAcentral.